GCAUCUUUAGUUUUGUAAGAAACUGCCAUGCUCUUUUCCAGGAUGACUAUAUCAUUAUACAGUCCCGUCAGCAAUGCACGAGUGGUCCAGUUUCUUAGUAUUUUUGCUGGAAUCUAGGGCCCUAUCUAGGGAAGACUCUCUAGUCUACAAGCUGGGUAAGGAAGGGAGCUGCUGACUGCUCAGCUGCACUCACCUGGAAUUUAGCCUCUGUAACAUGGAACUGGAGAAAGGAUGAGAAAUGAUGGUGGACUGCCCCUCCUGGGGAGAUAAAGGGAGAAGGAGUCACAUGUACUUGACGGUACCCAUCCGAAGUGAAGUUUCUGUUUCACUGAGGCCGGGUGACACAGUAAGAAGUCCCUCAUCAGAUGCUGGCGCCCUGAUCUUAGACUUCCCUGCCUCCAGACUAGGUGGAAGAUGGUUAAAUAUGGUCCCAAAUUUCUACCACCCUAGAAAGUGACAAUGCUACUCACCCAAUCAAGAGAGAAAAGAUCUUUCCUGAAAGUCAUAUGGAGCUGAGUGAGGCAGAAGCUAUUAUUGCCCAAGUCCAUGAGGUCGGUCAGCCGUGGAGACGAAGACCCUUUUACUACUAGAGUCCAAUCAGCAGAUAUUGGUAAAAUUUGUCUCUUCCAGAAUCAAACUGUAAAACCACAAAUGGUUCUUCAGAUGGAGCCCCAGAUGCAGUACAUGACUAAGAUCUACCAUGGACCCCUGGACCAGCCUGCUAGCCCAUGCUCCGAUGUUGAUGACAUCGAAGGCACCUCUCCAGAGGAAAUCUCAACUGCAUGUCCCCUACUAUGCCCCAAUUCAGCAGGAAGCAGUUAGAGCGGUCAUCAGCCAACCUCCCCAACAGCACUUGGGUUUUUCUAUUGAGAAGGGGAACUGAGAGACAGGACUAACUGGAUUUCCUAGGCUGACUAAGAAUUCCUAAGCCUAGCUGGGAAAGGUGACAGCACCCACCUUUAAACACAGGGCUUGUAACUCAGCUCACACCCGACCAAUCGGUAGUAAAGAGGGCUAGCUAAAAUACCAAUUAGGCUAAAAGCAGGAGGUGAAGAAAUAGUCAAAUCAUGUAUUGCCUGAGAGCACAGAGGGAGGGACAAUGAUUGGGAUAUAAACCCAGGCAUCUGAACCAGCAGUGGAAACCCCCUUUUGGAUCUCCUCCCAUUGUAUGGGAGCUCUGUUUCCACUCUAUUAAAUCUUGCAACUGCAAAAAUAAAUAAAUAAAUAAAA
This is a non-coding RNA of Chlorocebus sabaeus (green monkey), 1230 nucleotides long. The record is from RefSeq and is a predicted model, not a curated record. NCBI's taxonomy places the organism in Eukaryota, Metazoa, Chordata, Mammalia, Primates, Cercopithecidae.